AUACGGAGGGGGCUAGCGUUGUUCGGAAUUACUGGGCGUAAAGCGUACGUAGGCGGACUGAUCAGUUGGGGGUGAAAUCCCAGGGCUUAACCCUGGAACUGCCUUCAAUACUGUCAGUCUUGAGAUUGGAAGAGGUGAGUGGAAUUCCUAGUGUAGAGGUGAAAUUCAUAGAUAAUAGGAGGAACACCAGUGGCGAAGGCGGCUCACUGGUCCAAUACUGACGCUGAGGUACGAAAGCGUGGGGAGCAAACAGGAUUAGAUACCCUAGUAGUCC
Molecule: ribosomal RNA, 274 nt
Filed under: uncultured bacterium
Lineage: Bacteria
Description: partial 16S ribosomal RNA
Rfam family: Bacterial small subunit ribosomal RNA
Source: RNAcentral